Molecule: ribosomal RNA, 1352 nt
Filed under: uncultured bacterium
Lineage: Bacteria
Description: bacterial SSU rRNA
Rfam family: Bacterial small subunit ribosomal RNA
Source: RNAcentral
AUUGAACGCUGGCGGCAUGCCUUACACAUGCGAGUCGAACGGCAGCACGGAGCUUGCUCUGGUGGCGAGUGGCGAACGGGUGAGUAAUAUAUCGGAACGUACCCUAGAGUGGGGGAUAACGUAGCGAAAGUUACGCUAAUACCGCAUACGAUCUAAGGAUGAAAGUGGGGGAUCGCAAGACCUCAUGCUCGUGGAGCGGCCGAUAUCUGAUUAGCUAGUUGGUAGGGUAAAAGCCUACCAAGGCAUCGAUCAGUAGCUGGUCUGAGAGGACGACCAGCCACACUGGAACUGAGACACGGUCCAGACUCCUACGGGAGGCAGCAGUGGGGAAUUUUGGACAAUGGGCGAAAGCCUGAUCCAGCAAUGCCGCGUGAGUGAAGAAGGCCUUCGGGUUGUAAAGCUCUUUUGUCAGGGAAGAAACGGUGAGAGCUAAUACCUCUUGCUAAUGACGGUACCUGAAGAAUAAGCACCGGCUAACUACGUGCCAGCAGCCGCGGUAAUACGUAGGGUGCAAGCGUUAAUCGGAAUUACUGGGCGUAAAGCGUGCGCAGGCGGUUUUGUAAGUCUGAUGUGAAAUCCCCGGGCUCAACCUGGGAAUUGCAUUGGAGACUGCAAGGCUAGAAUCUGGCAGAGGGGGGUAGAAUUCCACGUGUAGCAGUGAAAUGCGUAGAUAUGUGGAGGAACACCGAUGGCGAAGGCAGCCCCCUGGGUCAAGAUUGACGCUCAUGCACGAAAGCGUGGGGAGCAAACAGGAUUAGAUACCCUGGUAGUCCACGCCCUAAACGAUGUCUACUAGUUGUCGGGUCUUAAUUGACUUGGUAACGCAGCUAACGCGUGAAGUAGACCGCCUGGGGAGUACGGUCGCAAGAUUAAAACUCAAAGGAAUUGACGGGGACCCGCACAAGCGGUGGAUGAUGUGGAUUAAUUCGAUGCAACGCGAAAAACCUUACCUACCCUUGACAUGGCUGGAAUCCCCGAGAGAUUGGGGAGUGCUCGAAAGAGAACCAGUACACAGGUGCUGCAUGGCCGUCGUCAGCUCGUGUCGUGAGAUGUUGGGUUAAGUCCCGCAACGAGCGCAACCCUUGUCAUUAGUUGCUACGAAAGGGCACUCUAAUGAGACUGCCGGUGACAAACCGGAGGAAGGUGGGGAUGACGUCAAGUCCUCAUGGCCCUUAUGGGUAGGGCUUCACACGUCAUACAAUGGUACAUACAGAGCGCCGCCAACCCGCGAGGGGGAGCUAAUCGCAGAAAGUGUAUCGUAGUCCGGAUUGUAGUCUGCAACUCGACUGCAUGAAGUUGGAAUCGCUAGUAAUCGCGGAUCAGCAUGUCGCGGUGAAUACGUUCCCGGGUCU